RNAcentral lists this ribosomal RNA (482 nucleotides) under uncultured bacterium. RNAcentral describes it as "bacterial SSU rRNA". It matches the Rfam family "Bacterial small subunit ribosomal RNA", at positions 1 to 507 of the family's 1533-position model. The record is from RNAcentral.
ACGAGUUUGAUCCUGGCUCAGAACGAACGCUGGCGGCGCGCUUAACACAUGCAAGUCGAACGCACACUUUCGGGUGUGAGUGGCGGACGGGUGAGUAACGCGUGGGAACCUGCCCUGAGGUUCGGGACAACCGUGGGAAACCGCGGCUAAUACCGGAUAUCUCCUACGGGAGAAAGACUUGUCGCCUUGGGAGGGGCCCGCGUCGGAUUAGCUUGUUGGUGGGGUAAUGGCCUACCAAGGCAUCGAUCCGUAGCUGGUCUGAGAGGAUGAUCAGCCACACUGGGACUGAGACACGGUCCAGACUCCUACGGGAGGCAGCGGUAGGGAAUAUUGGGCAAUGGGCGCAAGCCUGACCCAGCCAUGCCGCGUGAAGGGAUUUAAGGGCCCCUCUGGGGUUGUAAAACUUCUUUUAUCAGGGAAGAAACCUCUCGAUUCAUCGAGAGCUGACGGUACCUGAGGAAUAAGCACCGGCUAACUCCGUG